This is a long non-coding RNA of Ostrinia nubilalis (European corn borer), 592 nucleotides long. RefSeq lists it as uncharacterized. NCBI's taxonomy places the organism in Eukaryota, Metazoa, Arthropoda, Insecta, Lepidoptera, Crambidae. The record is from RefSeq and is a predicted model, not a curated record. The transcript has 2 exons.
UCGUGGGGGGGUAGUGUAGCGGUAAGCAAAACUCUUUGCGCCGGGUAUAGGCUACGGCGGUUGCGAUGGUAACCGGGUUGUUGAUGUCAGGAGAACGUCAGGUAGUAAAAUAGGAGAUUUUACAAUAUAUGUAUAUUAUAUUUUAUUCAAACAUAGGCCUCCAAUGAUUAAUACUAACGGGUAACGGCCUGCAUCCAGCGCCUUCCUUCUACCUUUAUGCGGUCGUCGGUCCACCUUGUCGCUUGGAGGCAUUACCACGGAAUAAUAAAUGUAACGGCACCCUCAUUGGCGCUAGUGCGAACGUUGUUUGCGCAGGAGUGGCCGAGCAACAUGGCUACCGGUUCACGUUCGUCCAAUACCUCAAAGUAGGGUUCCCCAUCAUGAUUGGAAACCUUUUAGUCGCGUCAGUGUACUUGCUGAUAUGUCAUUGUGCUUUCACGUGGCACUGAUAUUGACUUAUUUGACUUAAGGUCCUAUGUCCCCUAGAUGGGGCAGAGGGCGUCCACAACAGUCCUCCAUCGCGUUCGGUCUUGAGCUUCGCGCUUGAUCUCGCUCCGGGUCUUGCCGCUUUUCUUCGCCUCGGCACUGAUAU